AACCAUAGAAACCUGCGGAGUACCUGCGGAAGGAUCAUUAACAAGCCUGUGGAGAUUAUAUUCCCAAAAGGAUGUAAUCUCGCGCCCGGCCACCCUUGUUUAUCUGACCCCUGUUGCUUUGGUGGGCCCGCCAGAAAGGCCGCUGGGGAACCUAGUUUCCGGGCGAGUGCUCACCAAAGUCCCAUUGAACUCUUUUUGAAGUUAUGCUGUCUGAGCACGCGAAAAUAAAUAUAUUAAAAC
This 240-nucleotide unclassified non-coding RNA is filed under the name soil metagenome. RNAcentral's name for it is "partial contains 5.8S ribosomal RNA, internal transcribed spacer 2, and large subunit ribosomal RNA". The record is from RNAcentral.